Molecule: long non-coding RNA, 15349 nt
Filed under: Capsicum annuum
Lineage: Eukaryota; Viridiplantae; Streptophyta; Magnoliopsida; Solanales; Solanaceae
Description: long non-coding RNA (CANN_LNC003979)
Source: RNAcentral
CAAAAUAAGCAAGUAAUUCUUGGGGUUGGAAUUCAAAAGAAAUAUUAAAAUAAAUGUGCAAUAUAAAGAAAAAGAAUUUUCAUUAUGACUAAAAGAUCCGACUACUCAAUAAAAAAAGGGUAAAAGAAAGCAACAAAAAGGUUUGAACGAAGACAUAUCCUAAGGCUAAUCUAAGUAUAGCUUAUAAUUGACUAAAUCUUGUAAAGAAGCCUAAGACUUGUUUUUUCUUCUCCACGACCUUUGAGGCUUUUUUUGUUGCAAGGGAGGCAUCAUAACACUUGGAAAACUCUUCUUCAGCAGCUAAAACUUUGGAUUCCAUCUCUGCAGCUUCUUGCUUGGCAGCAUCUCGGCAAGCUUUCAACUUCUUCACCUUCUUUCUCGCCUUCUCAAGAGAUUUGCAGGCGGCAGAAACUUCUUUAGAUUUCUCAUCCCUAUCCCUCAAUACAAGCUCGAGAUGUUCUUUGGCUUUUAAAUAUGGCUCUGACUCUUUAAUUGUUGUGGUCUUAUCAACAAGAGUGGAUCGUGCUUAGUUAUAAGAAGUUGCCAUCCCAAAGAAAGACCCCAAUAAAUCCUGCAAGGGGGAAAUAUAUGCCCCCAUUCCACUCAUGUCAUUAAGUAUGACUUCGAUGCCAUCUUGGAUAGAAGAAGCACGAUUCGGAGUAAAGCCUGUAAGUUUGGUACGUAUACUAGCCCAAGCCUUCAUGAUAAACUCCUUUUUAAGCUCUGAAACGACCUUCUUGCCAUAAAAAACAGACAUGGUUACUGCUGGUUGCCUGGAAAAGUUUGACUCCGCAUUUGCUUUGACUUUACCACAAGAGUUAGAAAUAACCUCUUUGGAUGACAAAAGUAACUCCCUUGAGUCUGGACCUACUACAGACUCGCUACUAUCUUGUGGCUUACUUUGAUGAGGAUCUUCCAAAUUUUGGACAUUGUUUAGCUGCGCUUACAAAGAAAAACGUAAUAUGAGGGGUAUAUAAAGGCAAUGCAUAUACUAUGAAAUGGUAGAAGAGUUGAGUCAUUACCUUCUCGAUAGUUGGCGAAGUCUUGGAUGAACUAGAAAGAAUCUCCACAUGGGUAUUAGAAUCACUUUGCUUCAACAAAGAUGGUUUUACCUUUUUCCAACAACGAUCUCUGUGACUACUAUCGCUCUGAUCUUGUAAGAUUCGUUUAUUAAAAGCCGAUUGAGCCAGGGUAGACAAAUCCUCUUUUUGAGUUUUUGCAUGUGAAGGCCCCUUGACUUUGCAUGGAAUUACUGCCUUAGCUUUCAAAACUGGAGGCUUAGCCACAUUUGGGACCUCCUCACCAUGUUCUUAAGGAGUGUCAAUAAUCGGACCUACAACAUUCACCAAAGAUUGUAGAUUAACUUCGAGAAAGAUCCCAUGAACUUUAUCCCACCAAGAUUUAUAUGGAGUGGAUAAAUAUCUUCGCACAUUGGGUGUGGCUUUAGGGAAAGUCGCUUUUGACAUAGAGCCAUGCAAUACACAAAUUUGAUGAAAUUUAAGGCCUUCAUCUAAUAAAGCUCUGCGAAUAUCAUCUUUCAAGACUCUGGAAAGGCCUUGAUAAAAUACAAACUGGCGGUUAACCGGUGUGGACUAUAUGGCUCAAGUAUGAAUGAACCCCCAUAUCUAAAAGGGAGUAAGUUAAAAUGGAGGCUCAUGAAGUAGCUUAUCUCUGACUCGUCACUCUUAUCAUCAUCCUCAAAAUGACAAGGAGCGGUCUGGCUCGGCAUAAUGGAAGCCCAAGUAAUAGUGUCACCUUGAUGGAUGCGUUUUCUGGCAAACUCUCCAUCAAAAUACCUUGUCCCACCCUCGCCGAAAUAUGCCGUCAUCAAUGGAACAGAUUGUCCAUUAGAAAGUGAAAAAUGUGUCUUAAAAUAGUAAACAAGCCAACCAUACACAUAAUGGAUAGGAAAUGAUACUCUGAGCUACUCAGUUGUGAAGAUUUGUAGACUCUAUUAAGACCAUUAUAAAUGCUCGAUAGGACUGGAACGGUAAGACUGAAAAUUUGCUUAUCCGCCAUCAUAGCUGCAAUUCUAAAAGUUCCUGGACGAAUGAAAAAUCCAUCCCUAGAGAGAAAUACAAAGGUGCACAACUAACAUGAUAGGAACGCUGCCAAAUACGUAUCGGUUCUGUGUUCAUGCUUCACUCCAAGUUUAGAAAUCGUGGCAUCAUCUGCACUUGAACACUUCGCGGUAUUUGGAAUAGUCCCAGUUGGGUUAUGGGUUGACUUCAACCGAGCAGAUUUUUUCUCCUUCCUCCGUGUGGCUGACUCGUAUCUUAAUAUCCCUUUGCACCAAAAAUUUAUCCAUUUGCUUAAAGAAACUCUCGGAUUAGAAGCCUCUCCUUCUUGAAGAUGUUGAAAAUCUAUAAACAAGGAUUCACAAGAACGAGGGAUAAAUUUCUCAUUCUUUUCAUCAACACCUGUAAGCUCCUUUGCUUCGGGCACCACUUCUGCAUAAGGAAGGCCUCCGAUAGGCAGACCUCCAAUUUUAUGCAAGUCCCAAAGUGAUAUGGAUAGCUCUCCAACUGAAGUAAGUAAUGUGUUGGUAUUUGGACAUCAAACCUCAAUGUUCUAGUUUCGAUCAUAGGUAAACACUGAAGCAUAAACGGCAUCAUAUAUUUUUGCUGCCUUCAAGGUUUGUGCACUUCUAGCCAAUAUGUCCUCGGUCCAUUCUCAAUAUCCUUGAGUAUGACGAUAUUCAUCGGUUAUCUCCAUGGUACCCCCAACGUACUUAAAAGUACCCGAUGUCCUAAGCAAGGAAGGGUACUCGCAAUAUUCAAUUGACGUUGGUUGGGAGUACGAAGAAGCCAUACUUUAACCAAUCAAUUAGCACCAAUGUCAUGUUCUGAAGUCCAAUCCGACAUAUGGAGAGAAUUUUGUAAGGGUGGCCACGGAUCUGCAUACCUACCUACCAUUGGAGUUUCAGUCAAUAGCCUAGUUAAAAUAGUACCGUCAUCGGCUUCAAUUAGAAGAUACUUUCUUUUAGAGGAUGAAGAUGUGUAAUCUCUAAAGCAAACCAUCUCUACAAGCUGCGUAAAUAAAAAAAAUCUCGAUUAGACACAAAGUCAAGAUUCAAAAAAUAAAAUAAUAUAUAUNNNNNNNNNNNNNNNNNNNNNNNNNNNNNNNUAUAUCAGUAAAGAAAAAGUCAAAGAAAAAAAAAAGUUUUUCAUGUGUUUGGCUCUGGUGAAAUAUAGUCAGGUAUAUUUGAAGUCAAAUUCGUCAGGUCUUAGGUCUUAGGGUAACAGAGGCGAAGUUAGACUUUCACGCCUUAAGCUGAACAUUGAAAAGGACCUAUACUUAGAGAAGAUCAUCGCAUAAAUACAUCGGUGAAAGGGCUCAUACUUAAAGAAAAUUAUUGCACCGUCUUCAAGUAAAAUUGAUCAAACUUAAGGUGACGAAGGCGAAGUUAAACCCUCGCACCUUAAGCCGAUGUCCACCAUCUUCAAAUAAAAUUGAUCGGACUUAAGAUGACGAAGGCGAAAUUAAACUCUCGCACCUUAAGUCGAUGACCGUCAUGAAUGCAUAUUGCUAUUAGUUUCAACCCUAUUAAAAAAAAAAAAAAAAAAGAAGAAAAGGAGAACAAAACAACAAUUAACGAAUUAAGAAAAAAUGCGACUCACCAAUAAUACGCCAGCUAUGGUUGGGCAAGCAACAAGAACAGAAGCGGAUCAUAUGUAUUUAUAGAGAAUGUAAGCGGUGGCUACAUUCUAAGUGAAAUAGGAUUGGAAAAUAUGAGGCGGUGGCAAGUUUAGUUGAAUGAAAAUUAGGAGUAGAUCAAGUGCUUACCAAAUUUAAUUGGCUUAGACGGCACUUUAAUUCCUACAAAUUAAAAUGUAAGGUAGCAAUAUAAUUUCUAUGCUUAUCAGACAAGAGGAUUUAAUGCUUGGAAAGAAAAAACGAAAAGUCAAUUCCUCCUUUUGUUUUUAAUGAUGUCACUUGAAGAAAAGAAAGGACAAGUUUUGUCCUUUAGUCCAAAACUUAAAAAUAUUUAAAUUAAGUUUGAAGUCUGCUAUGGACGGAAAAAAAAUAUAGUAAUAAUUUGCCGUUGAUCAUUGUUAUUUUUUUUCCACAAAUAUUAUUGUCAUAUUAAAUUUUUACUUCAAGCCUAAUCUUCAAAGAUUAAAUAUCUCGAUAAAUCUUAAAGUAGGAGUAUUUAUGAGUGAUGUAAUUUUAUUAAAUUUAAAUUUGUAUAAAAUUUAGAUUAUAUUAAAUUUAAAAUAUAAUAGUCCCAAACAAAUAUUGUAGAUUAAUAUAACUGAAUUAAUUAUUUAAGUCCAAAUAGGUAUGAAUUUAAAUAACGCCCAAGGCUAAUCCAUUAAUUUGAGCUACAAAUGCUGAGUCCAUUUUAUUAAGUACAAAAUAUUGUCAUAUUCUAGAGGCUCAAAUGAGCGCCACAUGUCAAAUUGAUGCAGCAGAACCAUGAAAUAAAAGUCCAUAAAAGACGCCACAUCACUUAAAUCUGAUUGAUUAAAGGAAGUUCAUAUUCAUCAUGACUCUUCCUUUUCUACAACUAUAAAUAGGGAUUUCAUAAUUCGAAAAAGAUUCCAAACCCCAGAAUUCUAACAAAUAACAAGAGAAAGAUCAUGAAUCAAACGCGGCUUAUUUAUAUUCAAGAACAAGCUCAAGAAAGUAACAAGCUCAAAAGCUUAAGUAUUCAAGAUUAAGCUUUAAGCCCUUGAAUUUAUAUUUAAAAAGACAUUAUAACACUCGAAUUGAAAUCAAUAAAUUAAUUGUUGCAAUAUAUUUUUCUUUGUCUCGAAUUAUUUAUUUUUUGCACUCGAAAAUUUUAUUGUCCAACAGUGUGCUUUCAAGAUGAACAUCUACUUUGUUAUUUUUCCAUUUCUCUACACAUUCUUUUAGAUCUCUCUUCUUUGUUCAUCGUUGUUUUUGAUGUUGCCCCCCAUUGCAUUGAGGUUAUUUUUGUUAUUCGUUUUUGUUUGUUGCUUUAAAUUUUUAUUCUUCUUUCUAUUUAUGUUGCUUUAUCUGUUAUUUUAAUUUUUGUAACUUUCGUUCUGCUUUUGUCCCUAAAACGUAAAACCCAAUUUUGAUAUAUUGUAUCUCAAUCAAAUGAACCUUACAAUCGCGUGUAUACACCGUUAAUUCAAAAUAUUCAUAACUGUCGGAAUUAGAAAUUUUAGAUUUUUCUCUCAAGAAUUUAUUUUUUAUUUUUCAUGUUCAUUAUAUGUUUGAUAAUUUGUUCAACAAGAAAUUAUCUGCUCGAGUUCAAGUAAUGAGUUUGGCUUAAUUGAAUUAAAGCUUUGCUUCAGUAUGAUUAUUAGGUACAAAUUUAAAGGUUAAAUAAAAAUGAACAAAUUAUCAUAGAGUAUAUCAUUAAGCGCCCUACAGGUGUAUCGAAGUAAAUAUUUUUAAGACAUAAAUCCUAUAUAUGCAUGGAUUGGUGAGAUAUUCAAAUAAAGUUGUGUUGCUACUUCAUUUGUUUUUCUCAUUAAUUUUCUUUAAUAUCAUGUGAGUUUCGAAUUUGAUUUUGCAAAGGUGUGAUUAUUUUAUUCCUUAUCUCUGAGUUACAUGAUAAAAAAAUGAACCUCGAGCCUAACUCAACCUCAAAAGCUAGCUCAUGAGGAGAGGAUUGUCCAAGAUUAUAUAAGGAGAACAAGGACCCUUUAACCCACCGAUGUGGGACUCCAACAUUACAUGCUAGCGCUCACCCCGCUAGCCGUCCUAGGACGCUACAUUGUUUCAUAAUGUAGGGUCCGAGGACACCUCUUUAUCCCUGUGCAGCGCGUUAGGUGAUCCAGGUUCGUCAGUUGGUUCGCGGUGAAGUGGUGAGCUUUCAUCCUCCGAAAAUCUUAGUCAUUCCAUCGAUUUACUAUCUUAUCAUGCGUGGUUGUCUUCUGCUCUUUGUUAUGUAUUAUGUUUUGGACAGGCUCAAGGUGGGCUUGAGAUAUCCGUCACGAUUAGGACCGGGGUCAGAUCGUGACAGUAAGAUACAUAUUGUUGUGGUUAAUGACCAAGAAAUACAAAUUUACGUGUUAUUUUGCUAUAUAAUUAAUUAUCAGCAACCAAAGUUGAUGUGUGUUAAUUGCAGUUGAUGUGUUUUUUUAUGUCGUUAAGAAAUCUUUCAUCAUUAAAAAAAAAAAAAGAAGAUGUUUUGUAUUUCUGCAGGUCUUCAACAGCUCCUCAAGGGAUUAUAAAUUCUCCCCAUCCACUGCAAGCACUAUUUAUCGUUACGAUUUCCAAUUCUACCAUAGAAUACAGGGUAGUUGUGCUUAUAUUUUUUCUUUCAGGCAAUUUCUUUGGUCAUCUCAUUUUUACAAUAAUUUAUGAUUUUGGAAAUUCUAAAAUAAAUCAUGCUUUGAUUCUAUAAUUCAAGUCCUGAUUCCUUAUUCUACACAUCAAAGAAGUUAUCAAACAUGUAUGUACAACCUUAGAAUUUAUAGUAGUGUUUUAUCAUUCUAAAUCUCAAUUGAUAUGUUUGAUGUUCAACUUACUAUGAGAGCAGGACAGUUUUAAAAAAAAAAAAAGAUUCAGGUGAUUUCGUCAUGUUACUUUAUUCAAUUUGUGGAUACUAAUUUUAAAUUGUAUGUAUAUGAACAAUUUAACAUCAUUCUAUUACUGCAGAGUAAAUAAGUUUUUACAACUAAAUUUGUGUUCCAACAAAUUUUCACGUACAAAAAGAUAAAUAUUGGGUCCGCACACGAACAACUGACAUCUAGUAUGGAAAUAAACGUGUAUAUUUACUUCAAUCAUCACUCAUUAACAAUAAAAUGACAAAUGGAGAUAAACGUACUUCAAUCAUCACUCAUUAACAAUAAAAUGACAAAAGUUGCUUGACAGUAUCUUGCGUCGGUUCCAAAUUCAUCUGUCAAUAAGUAUAAAAUCAUGGUUAAUAAAGUGCUUAAACAAUCGGAUGAAGUAAAUCUAAAAUCAAAGUAAAGGAAAUUAUUUAACAAUAUCUUAAAAUCCUCUUCCAUCUAUCCUAGUUCGUCUCAAUAAAAUUAGUGACUUAAAGCCAAAUUUUAAUACGAGGCCUUAAAUAUAUCAACAUAAUAAAAAUAUUAUCAAUAAGUUAGUGUUAUUUUUUUAUUCUUGUGCACUAUUUUUUUUAGUGUAGUACUAUUAUUAGAAGACAUUAUGCAUUAAACUUCAUAUAGUAAUUUUUCUAUUUAUAAAAUUAAGCUCUAAUUUUAAUUAAUAAGAUAUUAGGAAUUUGUUUGCAAUACAUUACUUUGAAUAUUAUUGUGAAAACUUUAUUUAUUAAUAUGAUGAUUCGAUAAAAAGUUUUAAAAAUUUUAAACAAAUGUAGAUAAUUCUUUUUUUUAAAUUUAAUUUAAAUUUUUUAUCUUUCAUAUUUUAUAAUUUUUAAUAUUAUUUUAAGUGAGAUUAAAAUCAUAAAAUUCAUAUUAAAAUUUUUGAGGCUAAAACAAACGUUUUACUAGCCUUAUUCUUGAGUCACCCAUGCCUAGUUUUGGAGGAUACAGUUAUCUGGUAUCUAUUGUUUAUGGGAGGUGACAGGUAUCACGUGAAUUUAGUUGAUAGGCACGAAAAGUGGCCAGGGCACCGCAGUUAUAAAUUAAAAAAAAGUGAUACUCUUCAGCUUGGAUAAACAAUCCACUACAUACCAAGUUAAAAUCCUUUACAGAUCAAAAAGUAAAGAAGAAAUUUCACAAAAUUAGAACCAUAAAAGAGAGGGAUGGGAGGAAGUAGACAGAAUUUUCUCUUCCUCAUGGCCCAGACAGAGAACUCCUAUUCAUGUUUUAACCACUAUAAACGUGUCUGAAUAACACCAGGCUCGAGAAAAUGUAGGUUCAUAUGAAGCACUUGAGAGAGCAUAAACAACCUUCAAGUUCAACCCAACUACAGGGAUUUUGGUGAGUCCGGAAUUGAAUCAUUUGGCCCAAGGUCAUCGAUUGGUGGUCGCUGCUUAUGAUGAUCGGUGACUGAUUGAUAAGCCAUUGCUAAAGCCAAGGCCUGGACAUAAACGAAACAAACAAAAUCAACGAGUGCGUGAAAGAAUAAGCAGCAAAAUUAGAAGUUCAAAGCCAUCCAAUUGUUGUUUGAGUCCAGAAAUACCCAUGACUCAACAGCAAAGGUACGACGAUACAUCUUUCCAAGAUCAAAAUAAUAUAUACUACAUACAUCCUUUACACAUUGCUACUACACUAAAAACAAGAGGAUCAUAACUAAAGAACACUUACGACAUGAUCAUGGUCUGGAGGAGCAUAUAUGCCCGUAGUUACUGUUUUUCUCCUUCGAGUAUCAUUUGACGGUGCAUCAGAUAUCUUUUUGAAUCCUGUUGGAACAACUACUACUGGAAUACCCACAAGAUUGCCAAGACAAACUUUCUCCCACUCAGUUGCAUUUCCAAUAAAUGCAUCAACUUUGAAACUUUCUCUCACUUGCUGAAUCAACAUACCUCUAGCUCUUUGUGCCUGGUGAAAUAUCAUACACGUAUUGAUCUUAGCAUUGCCAAAUUUUGAACAACUGUAUAAAAGUGGAUUAACACCUCCAUUCAGAUUUUGAGAUGUCUGAAAGAAUUUAAUUAAUUAAGGUUUUUCAUCCUAUACCAGUGAUAAUUAAUCAAACAUACAGUUUUAAACAUCUAAACCAAGAGAAACUUUGUAGAUCAAGAUAAUAACCUGAAAAUAGUCAACGGCAGAUAUGGCACGUGCUCGGCGAAGUCUAAUAGGCCAUUUAUCUUGGUCUUCAAAUUCAUCAUCCAGAUUUGAGCGCUGCCAUUUGUCAAAGUGAGCCAACAUCUCAACAUCCAUUGUGAAAUUGAGGAUACCUUGGAAAGAAUCAACAGUGUAACUCAGGUUAAAUGGGACCAUAUUCGCUCCUUUUGAUUGGAGUACGUGAACAACCUGUCAUCGCCAUGACAAUGCAAUCCAGGUAAGACAUUCAUCAAAUAGGAUACAGAACCUAAUUAACACAGCCCCAUUCCAAUACUGGAAAAUAUUUACUUACUUCCAUAUCAGCAUCCUCAAGAUAUCCAACAGUGAGCUUUGUGAUAUCAACUCUGGGUCCUUCCCUCGAAUGGCAUCCAGAACAAUUGCACAAUCCACAGAAUUUCUACAAAAAGGGCCUAAUUUAUCCUGACAAGAAGUUAGAUUUCAGUGUAUUAUACUAAAAACUAGUAUUAGGAAAGAGAAUUGCACUGUGGAAGAAAUAUUAAGUACCAAGCUUUCAGCUAUGCUCAUAAUACCCGUUCGACCAACAGCUCCAAAAGUGGGCCGCAGCGCCGUCACGCCACAGCGAGAAGCUGGAAAGGUAAUGGAGCCGGCAGUUUCUGAACCGAUUGCAAACGGAACCAAACCUGCAAUACCAGUCUCUCUCUCUCUCAAACAAUAUGUUCUGCGUACUAAUAAGUCAUAAAACAUCGAGCAGAAUUGUCAUAUUUGCAAAUUUAGAAGGCAGGAUGCAUAGAUCGGAAUCUAAUCAGGGAUAGAUCAAUAGCUCAUGGAUACCUGCUGAGGUGCAAGAAGCAGACCCUGCUGAUGAUCCUGUAGAAUAUUCCUCGAUAUUCCACGGGUUUCUUGUUCUUCCACCAAACCAGAUGUCAGCAUAUGCUAAAGAACCAGUUACUAACUUUGCAACAAGAACUGCCCCGGCAGAUUUCAGCCUGCAUCAACCAUAUCUAUAUUACUAAAAUACACGCACAGUAAGAAUGGGUGUCUAGAUCUGGCCUCAUAUGUCAUUGAUAUCAUGAUUAGUUAGUUAUACCUCUUAUAAGCCCAAGCUUCAAUAUCAAGAACUUGGUCUUUAAAAGAUGUUGAACCCCAUGUUGUGGUAUAGUUAGGUACUGCUAUGAUCUCCUUAAGACCAUUGGGAAUCCCAUGAAGAGGACCUAUAUAGAAAAGAAGAUGUUAUACUUGUAAUCCUUUGAGAGAGCAAAAUAUUGUUAAAAAGGGUUAUGAGGCUAUUAGUGACACAAGGAAAAGUGAUCAAACAAAAAGUUGGAAAAAACAUUUUUUGUAUUACUCUCCACAUUUAAUAAAGAAGUACCAAGGAAUAAGAAGCUACCUAUGCCCUAAAUUCCUCUAAAGUAAAAAAAUAAAUCAGGGAAAAUUAUUUCAGAGCAUUAGGUGAGAAGUGAAGGAAGCAUUAAUUACUAUCGGUGGAAAACGGAACUAUAGGAAAUGAACAACCUCAGCAUCAAGAGAAGAUCAGUCCGAAGAAAUUGGAGAAUAUUGCAGCCUGAAGAUUUAGGAUUUCCCUGAUUAGGUGUAUAAUUUCGAUGGUCUAAUUUUAAUACCGCUGAUAAACAUAAAUCAUUUUCUUCCAUUGUAGUUAUGAUGCUCACAUUUUAUUUUUCUUUAUGGAGAAUUUGGAUGUACACCAUUACCUUUUUCAGAUGUAAAGGUCCUUGACAUCUAUGGCGAUCUAACAUGAAUCAUUAUUAUUGAGGCAUAGUUCAUUCAUCGAUUGAUGGAAAAUCCAAUAUUAUGAAGGUGAAUAGGAAAUACGUGAAAGAGGCUAGCGGAGAGGAAAUGAGCAGACUGUUACCCAGAUAUUUGCCUUCAGCAAGCAGUUGGUCAGCCUCUUUUGCUUGUUUGUAUGCUAAUUCUUCCGUAAUUACAUUGACGGACUCAAGAACAGGACCAUACCUGAGACAUCCCCAGUAGAUAUUUCAUUAUGAGGACUAGAUACCAAUAACAAUAAAAGAAUUGGAAGCAAACACUAGUUCAAACACCUCUUCAGUCUCUUCAAGAAAAUUCCAGUCAGCUCCACCGAUGUGAUAAGAUUUUCCUUGAGAAGCUGCCCGAGUUCAAGAAUCUGAUAUAACAGCAUGGGUGCAUGAUUAGACGGAAUGUUUUAUAAAUUUGAGCACGUAAGUCCUACUAUGGGAUCACUUACACUCUGGAACGCGAUAUCCUCAUCACUUUUUGGUCUCUGAAUACCAACAGGUGAUGGAUAAUUGAUCUUUUUAUUUGGUUCAUUUUCUAUCUGUUGGACCUUCCAUGCUGAAUUGAAGACUAAACAAGACGGGUUAUGCAGACCUCCAUCAGUAGUGGCAACCAACUUUCGGUUAGAUCUGAUUAUAGGUCUGUUGAAGUCGUUUGCUCCCUUUUGGAUUUCAAGCAUCUGAAAGGAAUGAACGUUAUUGUCAAAUAUAUAGUCUUGCUUUAUAUUCUAGUUCAGAGCUAGAAGGAUAACCAGAAAAAUUAAAAUGUCACAAUAGUACCUUCUUCUUACUCAAGAAGCUGGAGUCCAACAUUUUGAAUCCACAUUCACAAACCGGAAGAUGUUUGGCCUCUUCCAAGGGGUUUUCAAGACCCAAUUUUUCACUUUCCUGAUUAACGAUCACAUAAUUAGACAGAAAACACCAAAGUCUAGAAAUUUAGAACUGCUUUCCAAAUGAUACAGAUGGUCAUGUAACUAUCAAUUUUUUUCACAAAAAUCACCAAACUUUAACUAUAUUAACACAAAAAUCAGACAACCUGAAAAUGCUUUCUGAUGGACAACUCAUCUUUUACCUUUUCUGAAAAACUAUGUAGUAAUAGAUAAAAAGUUCAAUUAAAAAUCCAAAUGAAGAAAGUAAACUAUCAAAAGAACAGAACAGGAGUACAGAACCACACUUCCCCCCCCCCCNNNNNNNNNNNNNCAAAAAGCUGUUGAAAAUUAGUGAGGAGGAAACAAUGUUUCAACCUGAUUCUUCAUAUGGAUUUUGGGUUUGGUCGGAGCUUUUUAAUUGAAUUUUGUUUAUUGCAUUUAUAAAUAAAUUUAUAAAAAAAAAAAAAAAAAAGAGUUAUCUACUGGAAAUUUGGAAAUUUCAGGUUGUACGUGACCAUACGUGAAAUUUACACUGAAAACACAUGUAUAGUUUGAUGACAAGAAGAAGUAUACAUGCUAAAGUUGACCACUUGUCGCCAGUGAUAGUAAUAUCUUUGGGCGUUUAAGCUUUUCAAUAACAAGCUGGAGAUGAGAUUCUUCAUUUACCAUAUCUGUAGAACUGCUGCAAGUAAAAUCCCCAGGAUAUCCUGAUGAAGAAACAUAGUUAAAUAGAAGCACCAAUAUGUGCAACAGCAACAACCAACGAACUGAACGUGUCAGAAGACCCUUUUCACUUGCCAUGAGGAACUAGAUUUCCGGCAGUUAAAUGCACCAAAUUAUAGGAUCAUCAGCUUCCUUUCCACUCCUUAUCGACUGAACUUUCCAAAUUUGUUUAAUAAUUAGUAAAAGGUAGGAGUAUUGUUUAGUUGAGUUGUUGAGCUAGAUCUAAUAUCACAUUUAAAAAUUAUUUUAAAAGAUCUACUAUCGCUUAGAAAACACACCAUAAAAAAAAAGAAAUUAACUUGACACGAAAUUUAAAAAAAUAAAAUAAAAAUUUAAAUCUUACGCUUUUAAAUUAAAAAUAUGUUAAAUAUAUCAAAAUGUCAUAUCACGUAAAAAGUUAAAAUUAAAAAGUUACUGUUAAAAAAAAAAAGAAUCAUUUUUUUUUAACAGGACUAAAAAAAAAUAAUCAUUCCUUUUUUUUCAAACUGAGGGAGUAAUUUUUUUAAUAAUGUUAAUAACUGAGGUGUAGUCAUCUUCGUUGUUUGUUAUAUGUAGCCAAUUGUUAUCCAUUUUUUCUAUCUAUUACCUGUAAUCUUAAAGGGCACAACCCCUGCCCGCUUUUAUUUUUGGUUUCAAAAUUUCAAUAUCUAUUUUAAGGUAUGUAGAUAUUUUGUUUAUUGCAUUUUGGAUCUUUCCGAUUUUCACAUCAACUCCGCGACGCUAAUUGCUUACUUGAAAAUCUUACACUCCCUCUCUUCUAAGUACUUUUCAUAUUUUUGAUUUACAUGUCUCUUAAUAAAUUACUAUUUAUUAUGAAUAUUUUUUUACAUCAUAUUCUUAUUUAAUUUCUUUAAUCAUUUCUCAAUCAAUGAAAAUUUUAGUUUUUUUUUUUAACUAAAAGUAUACUUUAUUAUACCUUGAUUUUGUAAAAUUACAAGCAUCGUGAGCAUUUAAUAACACUUACAUUUAUCUGUUUUAUAUGUUAAAAGAUUAUGAACACUAAAUAGUUAAAAUUUAAAUGAAUAGAAUAGUAUCCUUUAGUUGAAGUUUACUUAUGCUUUUAUUUACUACUAGGCGUUGAACUAUCGGCACGUCAGAAGCCUCAUCAAAAUGGCCCUUAGUUGGUAAGCCGCACAAAACGAUCUAAAGUAAGCCGCACAAAACUAUCUAACUGAUUGUCAGGAAUUGGGUUGGAGUGCUGAUGGCUGUGAGGUUGCAACUGUCGAAGCCUGGAGUUAUGUUUAGUUCAAUAUCAAAUUAAUUAAAGGGACCUCUAACAAAAUUAAACAAAUUUUAGAAGGACAACGACCUUUACAAAAGAAACAAACAAGAAUAUUCUAUUCUUUUGAAAUCUAUGAUAUAGGGAGGAUAUUCUGAUCAAUCGACAUCCAGAUAAAAAUUGUCCCAUAUACACUACAGAGAUACAUGCUUGUUUUGCGGGGAAGCAUAUUGCUGGAAAAACAUGCUCGUCUUGGUCAUCAAGAAUUUGAGGAAAGAGAAGAGGACAAAAAAAAAACAACAGGAAAACAACUAGCUCAAAAAUCUAAAAGAAGCCCGACUGAGGUCAUUAGUGCCAUUUCCCAUCCUAAUUGUCGCUCCGUGCGAGUGCCUUACCAAUCCUAAUUGUCGCGCCUAGUCCUCCUACGAGGAGCAGCUGCAGCAUCCUCACUCUGCUCUUCCUUCUCCUCUGUGGCUUGACUAUUGGAAGUGGAAGUUUCAGCUGCAUCAGUUUUUUCAGUCUCUGCACUAGCUCUAGCCUGCAGAUAUACAUACACAGCAGAGACAUAAGAAAAAAGACAAACAGGUGGGGGUUCUUUCAUUGAUUUGUUCUUUUAACUAAGAUGGCACGGAUAUUGGUGCUUACCGGCUUCGGCUGCGGCUGCUUCUUCCCACCAAAGAUGAGCUUCAAUAGAAUUGAGAAGAAAACAACUACGACUGAGAUGACAACACUAACUGUGAGAUUGGGUUGUGCCUCAGCUUUCUCGAGAAGAUCCUGGAAAAAUAAGUCGAGAUUAUAUUAGAUACUUGCAGCAAAAUGAAACCCUUCAAUGAAACAAAACAGUAGUUCCUACACUUACCAGUACUUUGGCCUUGUGUUCGCCCAAGAACGGGACGUCAGCUACCUUGUAGAGGAGGUCAAAUACUACUUUCUGCAAAGUAUUGCCAAAUAUUUCAAGUUGUGUGAAAUGAGAAUAAAUCUAACGCAUAGAAAUUAGAUGGUAAAGAAAGUUUAGUCCUAUACCUGGUAUCUUUUGAGACCACCAGAUUCUGCUGUUUCCUCGGCUUUUUGCUUCUCCUUCUCUACGUCAAACUUGGGUUUCCAGGCAGUCUUCCUGUAUGAUUCAGCAACUUUUUCAUCACUUGCUAUCAAGAUAUUGUCAAACAAUAUGCCAUCUUGCAUUGUCCAUAUCUCAAUGCCAAUAGCUGCAAUUGGCUCAAAGUUGGGUUUGUCAAGUUCAAAAUAGUCGGGAUUUGGGAUAUCCCUGGGCUUCCAUAUACCCUUGUAAUUGGGGUUGUCAAUCAGUGGAGCAUGCCAUUUUCCCUUGUAAGCUGGAUUUCUCUUCAUUGGUCUUUUCCACUCCCCACAUCCAGGAGCUUCCUCACAUUUUGGGUUGUCAGUUUUUGGAGCCUCCCAUAAACCAUCCUCCUCAUCAUCCCAAUCUUCAGGCUUUGUGGCCUCGGGAUUAUCGAUCUCCUCAGGCUCAUCAUCCAACCAUCCUUCAGGCUUCUCAGCUUCCUCAUCUUCAAUUUCCAUUGGUGCGUCCUCAUCCCAAUCAUCUGGUUUCUUAGCAUCAGGGUCUGGAAUUUUGGCUCUCUCGUCCCAGUCCUCGGGCUUCUUGUCUUCUUGACAGCUGAAAGGAAGUUAGCCUUCUUUUUUUCUUCCCCAUCAACAAAGAUCAGAACUUCAUUGUCCGGUUUCAACACAGCAGUGUAAACAUGGGUUAGUUUGUCAGACGGUACGGAAGGAGGAAACUUGAGGUGGUGCUCAAUGAACUCCCCACUCUUAGGAUUCUUAUGUUUCAAAAUGAAGUGCACCUUGUUUGUGGCUCCACAUUUAUCUGGUCCAAACAUUACCGUAUAGGGGGACGCAUUAUCAAAACCCUUUGCAGUCCAACCUGCUUCCUGGGGACGGAGGUAUUUUAGGUAGGCACCACCACACUCAAGUCCCUCCUGGAGGCGAACCUCAUAUUGAAGGACCACAGUUCCGUCUUUGAGGUCAACAACAUUGUCAAGCUCCUUGACAAUGGCGUAUUUCCUAGCCUUCUCACUCACUAGAAGUCCAUAAUCAUCAUGUCCCUCGCUCUUGGCAUGUUUCCACACACCUGAGAUAAAAUUAUAUGUCCAUUUAAACUUGCAAGAUCAAAGAUUAGACAUCACUUCACUAAUGCAAAUG